RNAcentral lists this transfer RNA (73 nucleotides) under Anaerolineae bacterium. Its description in RNAcentral is "tRNA-Thr". It matches the Rfam family "tRNA". From Rfam's summary of the family: Transfer RNA (tRNA) molecules are approximately 80 nucleotides in length. Their secondary structure includes four short double-helical elements and three loops (D, anti-codon, and T loops). Further hydrogen bonds mediate the characteristic L-shaped molecular structure. tRNAs have two regions of fundamental functional importance: the anti-codon, which is responsible for specific mRNA codon recognition, and the 3' end, to which the tRNAs corresponding amino acid is attached (by aminoacyl-tRNA synthetases). tRNAs cope with the degeneracy of the genetic code in two manners: having more than one tRNA (with a specific anti-codon) for a particular amino acid; and 'wobble' base-pairing, i.e. permitting non-standard base-pairing at the 3rd anti-codon position. The record is from RNAcentral. Lineage: Bacteria; Bacillati; Chloroflexota; Anaerolineae.
GCCACCUUAGCUCAAUUGGCAGAGCAAUCGCUUCGUAAGUGAUAGGUUUCGGGUUCGACUCCCGAAGGUGGCU